UGUGUGAGAGUUUCUGUGACAGUGUACGUGUGUGUGAGAGUGUCUGAGGCAGGGUACGUGUGUGUGAGAGUGUCUGUGACAGUGUACACGUGUGUGAGAGUGUCUGCGACAGUGUAUGUGUGUGUGAGAGUGUCUGAGGCAGGGUAUAUGUGUGUGAGAGUGUCUGUGACAGUGUACGUGUGUGUGAGAGUGUCUGAGGCAGGGUACGUGUGUGUGUGAGAGUGUCUGAGGCAGGAUAUGUGUGAGAGUGUCUGUGACAGUGUACGCGUGUGUGAGAGUGUCUGUGGCAGGGUACGUGUGUGUGUGAGAGUGUCUGAGGCAGGAUAUGUGUGAGAGUGUCUGUGACAGUGUACGCGUGUGUGAGAGUGUCUGUGACAGUGUACGCGUGUGUGAGAGUGUCUGUGACAGUGUACGCGUGUGUGAGAGUGUCUGUGACAGUGUACGUGUGUGUGAGAGUGUCUGUGACAGUGUACGCGUGUGUGAGAGUGUCUGUGGCAGGGUACGUGUGUGUGUGAGAGUGUCUGAGGCAGGAUAUGUGUGAGAGUGUCUGUGACAGUGUACGCGUGUGUGAGAGUGUCUGUGACAGUGUACGUGUGUGUGAGAGUGUCUGCAGUAGGAUACGUGUGUGUUAGUGUGUCUGUGGAAGGGUACGUGUGUACGAGAGUGUCUGCGGCAGGGUACGUGUGUGUGAGAGUGUUUGCGGCAGGAUACGUGUGUGUAAGAGUGUCUGUGGCAGGGUAAGUGUGUGUGACAGUGUCUGUGACAGUGUACGCGUCUGUGAGAGUGUAUGUGACAGUGUACGCGUGUGUGAGAGUGUAUGUGACAGUGUACGCGUGUGUGUGAGUGUCUGUGACAGGGUAUGUGUGUGUGUGAGAGUGUCUGAGGCAGGGUAAGCGUGUG
This is a long non-coding RNA of Brienomyrus brachyistius, 900 nucleotides long. RefSeq lists it as uncharacterized. The transcript is spliced from 3 exons. The record is from RefSeq and is a predicted model, not a curated record. NCBI's taxonomy places the organism in Eukaryota, Metazoa, Chordata, Actinopteri, Osteoglossiformes, Mormyridae.